Molecule: ribosomal RNA, 989 nt
Filed under: uncultured bacterium
Lineage: Bacteria
Description: bacterial SSU rRNA
Rfam family: Bacterial small subunit ribosomal RNA
Source: RNAcentral
GGGGGCGGUGUCGGAUUACUGGGUGUAAGGGUCCGCAGGCGGGCAAGCAAGUCGGUGGUGAAAGUUCACGGCUCAACCGUGAAAUUGCCUUCGAUACUGCUUGUCUUGAGUUCGAGAGAGGAUGAUGGAAUUCAUGGUGUAGCGGUGAAAUGCGUAGAGAUCAUGAAGAACACCAGUAGCGAAGGCGGUCAUCUGGCUCGAUACUGACGCUCAGGGACGAAAGCGUGGGGAGCAAACAGGAUUAGAUACCCUGGUAGUCCACGCCUUAAACGAUGGAUGUUCGGUGUCGGUCCCGCUAAGCACUUGCGUGCAAGUUCUUAGCGGGAUCGGUGCCUGAGCUAACGCGUUAAACAUCCCACCUGGGGAGUACGAUCGCAAGGUUGAAACUCAAAGGAAUUGACGGGGGCCCGCACAAGCAGUGGAGAAUGUGGUUCAAUUCGAUGCAACGCGAAGAACCUUACCUGGGUUUGAAAGGCAAGUGACAGGCGAUGAAAGUCGCUCUCGUAGCAAUACGCACUUGUACAGGUGCUGCAUGGCUGUCGUCAGCUCGUGCCGUGAGGUGUUAGGUUAAGUCCUGCAACGAGCGCAACCCCUGCACUUAGUUGCCAUCAGGUCAAGCUGGGCACUCUAAGUGGACUGCCUACGCAAGUAGUGAGGAAGGCGGGGAUGACGUCAAGUCCUCAUGGCCCUUACACCCAGGGCCACACACGUUCUACAAUGGCCGCCACAAAGGGUUGCUAUGCCGCAAGGUGGAGCCAAUCCCAAAAAAGCGGUCUCAGUUCGGAUUGGGGUCUGCAACUCGACCCCAUGAAGCUGGAAUUGCUAGUAAUCGCGUAUCAGCAUGACGCGGUGAAUACGUUCCCGGGCCUUGUACACACCGCCCGUCAAGCCAUGGAAACUAGGGGUACCCGAAAACGCUAUGUCAACCGCAAGGAGACAGGCGCCUAAAGUAAAACUAGCGACUGGGGCUAAGUCGUAACAAGGUAACC